Tripterygium wilfordii is the source of this 86-nucleotide small nucleolar RNA. Lineage: Eukaryota; Viridiplantae; Streptophyta; Magnoliopsida; Celastrales; Celastraceae. The record is from RefSeq and is a predicted model, not a curated record.
GAGCUGAUUUAAAUGCUUAUUUUAGUUGGAAUUACCGGCCGAACUUCAGUUGAUGUUAACUAUAGACUGGCUUUGUGAGGCUUCAU